This 329-nucleotide small nuclear RNA is filed under the name Chlorocebus sabaeus (green monkey). RNAcentral describes it as "7SK RNA". It matches the Rfam family "7SK RNA". Rfam says of the family: 7SK was discovered as an abundant small nuclear RNA in the mid-70s but a possible function has only recently been suggested. Two independent studies have found that 7SK RNA binds the CDK9/cyclin T complex (known as elongation factor P-TEFb). Lineage: Eukaryota; Metazoa; Chordata; Mammalia; Primates; Cercopithecidae. The record is from Rfam by way of RNAcentral.
GGAUAUGAGGAUGAUCUGGCUGCGACAUCUGUCACGUUAGCGAUGGCCAGGGUUGAUUUGGCUGAGUUGGCUGGUGAGGCAGCUGUUCCCUCUUCCUUCUUCACUGCUCCCUUUGACCCUGAUUCACUCCAUUUUAUAUCAUGCAAUAUUUUAACUGCUACACAUAUUUAUUGUAGUUUUAGGUAAGCUUGACAUAAUGUACUGUUAUAUUUCACCAAAGGUACAGAUUUUAAGAAAAAGCAAGUUUUGCCUUGCAGUUAUAUUUCAUUGUUAGGCACAUCCAACAUUAAUUUGAGGCUUAUGAAUAUGGCAAACAAAUGUCUUCCUAC